RNAcentral lists this ribosomal RNA (254 nucleotides) under uncultured bacterium. RNAcentral's name for it is "partial 16S ribosomal RNA". It matches the Rfam family "Bacterial small subunit ribosomal RNA", at positions 524 to 776 of the family's 1533-position model. The record is from RNAcentral.
UACGUAGGGAGCAAGCGUUGUUCGGAUUUACUGGGCGUAAAGGGCGCGUAGGCGGCGCGGUAAGUCACUUGUGAAAUCUCUGAGCUUAACUCAGAACGGCCAAGUGAUACUGCAGUGCUAGAGUGCAGAAAGGGCAAUCGGAAUUCUUGGUGUAGCGGUGAAAUGCGUAGAUAUCAAGAGGAACACCUGAGGCGAAGGCGGGUUGCUAGGCUGACACUGACGCUGAGUGCGCGAAAGCCAGGGGAGCAAACAGG